RNAcentral lists this ribosomal RNA (450 nucleotides) under uncultured bacterium. RNAcentral describes it as "partial 16S ribosomal RNA". It matches the Rfam family "Bacterial small subunit ribosomal RNA", at positions 354 to 796 of the family's 1533-position model. The record is from RNAcentral.
GUGGGGAAUCUUCCGCAAUGGACGAAAGUCUGACGGAGCAACGCCGCGUGAGUGAUGACGGCCUUCGGGUUGUAAAGCUCUGUGAUCGGGGACGAAUGGCUGGUAUGCUAAUACCAUAUCAGAGUGACGGUACCCGAAUAGCAAGCCACGGCUAACUACGUGCCAGCAGCCGCGGUAAUACGUAGGUGGCAAGCGUUGUCCGGAAUUAUUGGGCGUAAAGCGCGCGCAGGCGGCUUCUUAAGUCCAUCUUAAAAGUGCGGGGCUUAACCCCGUGAUGGGAUGGAAACUGGGAGGCUGGAGUAUCGGAGAGGAAAGUGGAAUUCCUAGUGUAGCGGUGAAAUGCGUAGAGAUUAGGAAGAACACCGGUGGCGAAGGCGACUUUCUGGACGACAACUGACGCUGAGGCGCGAAAGCGUGGGGAGCAAACAGGAUUAGAUACCCGUGUAGUCC